Molecule: ribosomal RNA, 51 nt
Filed under: Crenobacter luteus
Lineage: Bacteria; Pseudomonadati; Pseudomonadota; Betaproteobacteria; Neisseriales; Neisseriaceae
Source: RNAcentral
CAGCGCCGAUGAUAGUGCGGGUUCCCGUGUGAAAGUAGGUCACCGCCAGAC